This 742-nucleotide ribosomal RNA is filed under the name uncultured bacterium. RNAcentral's name for it is "bacterial SSU rRNA". It matches the Rfam family "Bacterial small subunit ribosomal RNA", at positions 8 to 796 of the family's 1533-position model. The record is from RNAcentral.
AGAGUUUGAUCAUGGCUCAGAGCGAACGCUGGCGGCAGGCUUAACACAUGCAAGUCGAACGGACCCUUCGGGGUUAGUGGCGGACGGGUGAGUAACACGUGGGAACGUGCCUUUAGGUUCGGAACAACACAGGGAAACUUGUGCUAAUACCGGAUGUGCCCUUCGGGGGAAAGAUUUAUCGCCUUUAGAGCGGCCCGCGUCUGAUUAGCUUGUUGGUGAGGUAAAGGCUCACCAAGGCUACGAUCAGUAGCUGGUCUGAGAGGAUGGCCAGCCACAUUGGGACUGAGACACGGCCCAAACUCCUACGGGAGGCAGCAGUGGGGAAUCUUGCGCAAUGGGCGAAAGUCUGACGCAGCCAUGCCGCGUGGAUGAUGAAGGUCUUAGGAUUGUAAAAUCCUUUCAGCGGGGACGAUAAUGACGGUACCCGCAGAAGAAGCCCCGGCUAACUUCGUGCCAGCAGCCGCGGUAAUACGAAGGGGGCUAGCGUUGCUCGGAUUUACUGGGCGUAAAGGGCGCGUAGGCGGACAGUUAAGUUGGGGGUGAAAGCCCGGGGCUCAACCUCGGAAUUGCCUUCAAUACUGGUUGUCUUGAGUGUGAGAGAGGUGUGUGGAACUCCGAGUGUAGAGGUGAAAUUCGUAGAUAUUCGGAAGAACACCAGUGGCGAAGGCGACACACUGGCUCACUACUGACGCUGAGGCGCGAAAGCGUGGGGAGCAAACAGGAUUAGAUACCCUAGUAGUCC